AUUGAACGCUGGCGGCAGGCCUAACACAUGCAAGUCGAGCGGCAGCGGAAAGUAGCUUGCUACUUUGCCGGCGAGCGGCGGACGGGUGAGUAAUGUCUGGGAAACUGCCUGAUGGAGGGGGAUAACUACUGGAAACGGUAGCUAAUACCGCAUAACGUCGCAAGACCAAAGAGGGGGACCUUCGGGCCUCUUGCCAUCAG
RNAcentral lists this ribosomal RNA (200 nucleotides) under uncultured bacterium. Its description in RNAcentral is "partial 16S ribosomal RNA". It matches the Rfam family "Bacterial small subunit ribosomal RNA", at positions 30 to 224 of the family's 1533-position model. The record is from RNAcentral.